CACUCCUACGGGAGGCAGCAGUGGGGAAUUUUGGACAAUGGGCGAAAGCCUGAUCCAGCAAUGCCGCGUGAGUGAAGAAGGCCUUCGGGUUGUAAAGCUCUUUUGUCAUGGAAGAAACGGUGAAAGCUAAUAUCUUUUGCUAAUGACGGUACCUGAAGAAUAAGCACCGGCUAACUACGUGCCAGCAGCCGCGGUAAUACGUAGGGUGCAAGCGUUAAUCGGAAUUACUGGGCGUAAAGCGUGCGCAGGCGGUUUUGUAAGUCUGAUGUGAAAUCCCCGGGCUCAACCUGGGAAUUGCAUUGGAGACUGCAAGGCUAGAAUCUGGCAGAGGGGGGUAGAAUUCCACGUGUAGCAGUGAAAUGCGUAGAUAUGUGGAGGAACACCGAUGGCGAAGGCAGCCCCCUGGGUCAAGAUUGACGCUCAUGCACGAAAGCGUGGGGAGCAAACAGGAUUAGAUACCCCAGUAGUCCA
This 471-nucleotide ribosomal RNA is filed under the name uncultured organism. Its description in RNAcentral is "partial 16S ribosomal RNA". It matches the Rfam family "Bacterial small subunit ribosomal RNA", at positions 334 to 797 of the family's 1533-position model. The record is from RNAcentral.